AUUGAACGCUGGCGGCAUGCCUAACACAUGCAAGUCGAACGGCAGCACGGCAGUAGCAAUACUGUGGGUGGCGAGUGGCGGACGGGUGAGGAAUACGUCGGAAUCUGCCCAGUCGUGGGGGAUAACUAGCCGAAAGGUUAGCUAAUACCGCAUACGACCGAGAGGUGAAAGCGGGGGACCGCAAGGCCUCGCGCGAUUGGAUGAGCCGACGUCGGAUUAGCUAGUUGGGGGGUAAAGGCCCACCAAGGCGACGAUCCGUAGCUGGUCUGAGAGGAUGAUCAGCCACACUGGAACUGAGACACGGUCCAGACUCCUACGGGAGGCAGCAGUGGGGAAUAUUGGACAAUGGGCGCAAGCCUGAUCCAGCAAUGCCGCGUGUGUGAAGAAGGCC
This 391-nucleotide ribosomal RNA is filed under the name uncultured bacterium. RNAcentral describes it as "bacterial SSU rRNA". It matches the Rfam family "Bacterial small subunit ribosomal RNA", at positions 29 to 416 of the family's 1533-position model. The record is from RNAcentral.